UGAGGAAUAUUGGACAAUGGAUGGAAAUCUGAUCCAGCCAUGCCGCGUGCAGGAAGACGGCCCUAUGGGUUGUAAACUGCUUUUGUAUGGGAGCAAUAAGAUCUACGUGUAGAUUGAUGAGAGUACCAUACGAAUAAGCACCGGCUAACUCCGUGCCAGCAGCCGCGGUAAUACGGAGGGUGCAAGCGUUAUCCGGAUUUAUUGGGUUUAAAGGGUGCGUAGGCGGUUUGAUAAGUCAGCGGUGAAAUAUUUCAGCUUAACUGGAAGGGUGCCGUUGAUACUGUCGAGCUUGAAUUUAGUUGCUGUGGGUGGAAUGUGUGGUGUAGCGGUGAAAUGCAUAGAUAUCACACAGAAUAUCGAUUGCGAAGGCAGCUCACAAAGCUAAUAUUGACGCUGAUGCACGAAAGUGUGGGGAUCAAACA
This 422-nucleotide ribosomal RNA is filed under the name uncultured bacterium. RNAcentral describes it as "bacterial SSU rRNA". It matches the Rfam family "Bacterial small subunit ribosomal RNA", at positions 355 to 774 of the family's 1533-position model. The record is from RNAcentral. RNAcentral also lists the same sequence under 1 other name.